CAUGUAGGCGGCUCUGAAAGUCGGAUGUGAAAGCCCCCGGCCCACCCGGGGAACCGCAUUCGAAACUCCAGGGCUUGAGUGAAGAAGGGGAGAGUGGAACUCCUGGUGGAGCGGUAAAAUGCGUAGAUAUCAGGAGGAACGCCGGUGGAGAAGUCGACUCUCUGGUCUUUUACUGACGCUGAGAUGCGAAAGCUAGGGGAGCAAACGGGAUUAGAUACCCCGGUAGUCCUAGCCGUAAACGAUGGGCACUAGGUAGGGGAAGUUCCGACACUUUCUCUGCCGAAGCAAAUGUGAUAAGUGCCCCGCCUGGGGAGUACGGUCGCAAGACUAAA
Molecule: ribosomal RNA, 332 nt
Filed under: uncultured bacterium
Lineage: Bacteria
Description: bacterial SSU rRNA
Rfam family: Bacterial small subunit ribosomal RNA
Source: RNAcentral